RNAcentral lists this RNase P RNA (407 nucleotides) under Planosporangium thailandense. RNAcentral describes it as "RNase P RNA component class A". It matches the Rfam family "Bacterial RNase P class A". Rfam says of the family: Ribonuclease P (RNase P) is a ubiquitous endoribonuclease, found in archaea, bacteria and eukarya as well as chloroplasts and mitochondria. The record is from RNAcentral. Lineage: Bacteria; Bacillati; Actinomycetota; Actinomycetes; Micromonosporales; Micromonosporaceae.
CGAGUCGACCGGGCGGCCGCGUCAACGCGGCUUUUCAGCCUCGUUGCCGAGGAACGUCCGGGCUCCAUAGGGCAGGGUGGUUGCUAACGGCAACCCGGGGCGACCCGCGGGACAGUGCCACAGAAAACAGACCGCCUCGCGGCUUCGGCCGCGCGGUAAGGGUGAAACGGUGGGGUAAGAGCCCACCAGCACCCCGGGUGACCGGGGUGGCUCGGUAAACCCCACCCGGAGCAAGGCCAAGAGGGUCACCGCCCCACGGCGGCGACCUGCGCAGGCGUUCGAGGGCUGCCCGCCCGAUGCCUGCGGGUAGGCCGCUAGAGCCUGCCGGCGACGGCAGGCCGAGAUGGAUGGCCGCCGGCCCGCCGCAAAGCGGGUCACAGAACCCGGCGUACAGGUCGACUCGUCCG